GUGGGGAAUCUUCCGCAAUGGGCGCAAGCCUGACGGAGCAACGCCGCGUGAGUGAAGAAGGGUUUCGACUCGUAAAGCUCUGUUGUCGGGGACGAAUGUCAGGACUCAAAAUAUGGGUUCUGAAUGACGGUACCUGACGAGGAAGCCACGGCUAACUACGUGCCAGCAGCCGCGGUAAUACGUAGGUGGCGAGCGUUGUCCGGAAUUAUUGGGCGUAAAGGGAGCGCAGGCGGGAGAUCAAGUCUAUCUUAAAAGUGCGGGGCUCAACCCCGUGAGGGGAUGGAAACUGGUCUUCUUGAGUGCAGGAGAGGAAAGCGGAAUUCCUAGUGUAGCGGUGAAAUGCGUAGAUAUUAGGAGGAACACCAGUGGCGAAGGCGGCUUUCUGGACUGUAACUGACGCUGAGGCUCGAAAGCGUGGGGAGCGAACAGGA
RNAcentral lists this ribosomal RNA (431 nucleotides) under uncultured bacterium. RNAcentral's name for it is "bacterial SSU rRNA". It matches the Rfam family "Bacterial small subunit ribosomal RNA", at positions 354 to 777 of the family's 1533-position model. The record is from RNAcentral.